GACGAACGCUGGCGGCGUGCCUAAUACAUGCAAGUAGAACGCACAGUUUAUACCGUAGCUUGCUACACCAUAGACUGUGAGUUGCGAACGGGUGAGUAACGCGUAGGUAACCUGCCUGGUAGCGGGGGAUAACUAUUGGAAACGAUAGCUAAUACCGCAUAAUAUUAAUUAUUGCAUGAUAAUUAAUUGAAAGGUGCAAUUGCACCACUACCAGAUGGACCUGCGUUGUAUUAGCUAGUAGGUGAGGUAACGGCUCACCUAGGCGACGAUACAUAGCCGACCUGAGAGGGUGAUCGGCCACACUGGGACUGAGACACGGCCCAGACUCCUACGGGAGGCAGCAGUAGGGAAUCUUCGGCAAUGGACGAAAGUCUGACCGAGCAACGCCGCGUGAGUGAAGAAGGUUUUCGGAUCGUAAAGCUCUGUUGUAAGAGAAGAACGGGUGUGAGAGUGGAAAGUUCACACUGUGACGGUAUCUUACCAGAAAGGGAUGGCUAACUACGUG
This 505-nucleotide ribosomal RNA is filed under the name uncultured bacterium. RNAcentral's name for it is "partial 16S ribosomal RNA". It matches the Rfam family "Bacterial small subunit ribosomal RNA", at positions 28 to 507 of the family's 1533-position model. The record is from RNAcentral.